RNAcentral lists this ribosomal RNA (497 nucleotides) under uncultured bacterium. Its description in RNAcentral is "partial 16S ribosomal RNA". It matches the Rfam family "Bacterial small subunit ribosomal RNA", at positions 28 to 507 of the family's 1533-position model. The record is from RNAcentral.
GAUGAACGCUGGCGGCGUGCCUAAUACAUGCAAGUCGAGCGAACGGACGAGAAGCUUGCUUCUCUGAUGUUAGCGGCGGACGGGUGAGUAACACGUGGAUAACCUAUCUAUAAGACUGGGAUAACUUCGGGAAACCGGAUCUAAUACCGGAUGAUAUUUUGAACCGCAUGGUUCAAAAGUGAAAGACGGUCUUGCUGUCACUUAUAGAUGGAUCCGCGCUGCAUUAGCUAGUUGGUAAGGUAACGGCUUACCAAGGCAACGAUGCAUAGCCGACCUGAGAGGGUGAUCGGCCACACUGGAACUGAGACACGGUCCAGACUCCUACGGGAGGCAGCAGUAGGGAAUCUUCCGCAAUGGGCGAAAGCCUGACGGAGCAACGCCGCGUGAGUGAUGAAGGUCUUCGGAUCGUAAAACUCUGUUAUUAGGGAAGAACAUAUGUGUAAGUAACUGUGCACAUCUUGACGGUACCUAAUCAGAAAGCCACGGCUAACUACGUG